RNAcentral lists this ribosomal RNA (440 nucleotides) under uncultured bacterium. RNAcentral describes it as "partial 16S ribosomal RNA". It matches the Rfam family "Bacterial small subunit ribosomal RNA", at positions 338 to 795 of the family's 1533-position model. The record is from RNAcentral.
CCUACGGGAGGCAGCAGUGGGGAAUAUUGCACAAUGGGGGGAACCCUGAUGCAGCAACGCCGCGUGGGUGAAGAAGUACUUCGGUAUGUAAAGCCCUGUCAGCAGGGAAGAAAAUGACGGUACCUGACCAAGAAGCCCCGGCUAACUACGUGCCAGCAGCCGCGGUAAUACGUAGGGGGCAAGCGUUAUCCGGAUUUACUGGGUGUAAAGGGAGCGUAGACGGCAAGGCAAGUCUGGAGUGAAAGCCCGUGGCUCAACCACGGGACUGCUUUGGAAACUGUGUUGCUGGAGUGCAGGAGGGGUAAGCGGAAUUCCUAGUGUAGCGGUGAAAUGCGGAGAGAUUAGGAGGAACACCGAUUGCGAAGGCAGCAUACCGGCGCCCGACUGACGCUGAGGCACGAAAGCGUGGGGAUCGAACAGGAUUAGAUACCCGUGUAGUC